UUUGGAUCUCGUUUGAAGCCUCCCUCAGGUUUGACAACCUCAGGUUUGAAGCCUCAAGCCCUCCUUCAGGUUUGAAGCCUCAAGCCCCUCUCCUGUUUCAAACCACCAUCUCUCCUCUGUUCUCUCCCUUCUUCCCUCUCCAUGCCUUCAAAGUAAACCAACAGUCUCAAAGCCAUGGACCAACACAAGACCGACGACAAUCUCCGUUACGUAGGUGGCCUCACACGUGUUCUCGCCGCCGAUGCCUCCAUUUUCUUUGCAGGUUUGUUCAAUAUGCGUCAAUUCGUUAUUUUCAUUUUGAUUUUUACUUAAUUUACUUGAAUUUCUACUUGAUUUCUCUUUCGCAUGCACCAACCCCGACGAAUCGCCGAUUUCCACUGACGAUAUAUUCCAAAAUGGCCAGAUUUGUCUUGUGUUCCUGAUUUUCAACCUGGAUCUCUUCUUCGCAAAUGCCGACGACGAUGAUUUUUCCAUAGCCAAAGAGGCUGCCGCUUCCUCUUCCUCUCUGCGGUCGCCAUUAAAGAAGCUCUUCUUUGAAGAGCGGAAUACGCCGAACUCGGCAAUGUCGUUUUAGAACUCAGAAGGUGGACUCAGGUCCUGAUCCAUGAGAGCAACCAACUUCUGAGUUUGAUCAUCAACACCUGUUACAGCAUAAAAGGAGAUCUUUCUCUGUGAGCUCAUUAGUGAUGCCUCUGAUGUACGUAUUUUCACCGUUUAUUCUUAUGUCGAUUGCUCAUUUCAGUAUUUUCUAGUUUUAUUGUAUGAAUUGUUGUGUUUUCUGUUUGUGUUUGGCUUGUGAACAUUUUAAAUUCAACAACUUAGUUUGUAUGGCUUGUGAAAAUUUUGAAGUAAUGAUACACUGUAAGAUGUGUGCCAUCAGAUUGGCUGCUAACUAUCAGGAAUUGUAGGAAGUGGACCCCUGUGAUGAUCUAACUGAUGAUGAUUUUCGAAUGGCUAUUCAAAAUGCUUCUGGUGUAAGAAAUGCUUUAUUUGUGCCUGAGGUAUAAUGAUGACAUAUGCUGAUCAGUUCACAAUUGUAUAUCAUUUUGUACCCUUCUUGCUUAUGAUUUGGUUAUGUUAUUGAGUCAAACAUGUGCUUUUAAUCCCUUUUUCUGUUUAUCAUUCAGUUCAUUGGGCCUUAGGUAACAAUGGUGUCUUUGGAUAAGAAAAGAUGCAAAAUGGUGCAAAAACGAGCAGACUGGGUUACCAACUCAUUUCGGCCUUAACAUCUUCCUCCGAACUUUGAUUUGCCCAAAUAAAUUGUGGUUGGAAAGAUGAGAGUCUGAACUUCAAGAUGGACUACUCAAAUGCAUCAGAUAAUGAAGUUGAGCCCAAUUCGUGAGCCCAUGUACACACCAGACCAAACAUGUUGAGCAAUUGAGGGAGCAAUUGAGGGAGCAAUUAAGGGAGCAAUUGAGGGAGCAAUUAAGGGAGCAAUUGAGGGAGCAAUUAAGGGAGGUCUUUCCUUGACUUUAGACCCGACAUGUUGAGCAAUUAAGGGAGCAAUUAAGGGAGGUGUGUCAGCUACUCAAGUGCAGAGGAGUCACUCCAUUCACCAAUAAUUCACUCCAGCCAUCCUACAUCACUUCAUUGAGCCCAAAAUCAAAGGAGGACUCCAACAAGCCUUCCUUCCAUAUUCCUACGAAUUUGUUCUUUCUCUGCCAUCACCAGCCACCCAAACUCAUCCCAAAUCACCUCUUUAGUUGCCAUACUCUAGACAUGAGAAAGUUCUUUGAGUAGCAUUAGAAGUGGAUAAGCACCUGGAGAAGCCUUGGAAACCACAAGCAACUUCAGAAUUGGUUUUCUCUACUCUUAUUGCAUUCAAUAUGUUUUCUCAUUUUUGUUUAAGUUUCAUUUCCAUUAUGAGUAGCUAAAUUCAUAACUAGGGCUAUGAUGUAACCUAACAUGAAUAUUCUGGGUUUAUAAGUUGAAGUUUUGAGUUUCAAGUUUGAUUCAUGAUUCAUAUUCCUAUUCUUUAUGCUUAUCAGUUAAUAUGCUUGUUUGGAUGAUUGAUCACCAUUAGAAAUUGUAUAUUAGCUACCUUGGUUUGAAUCAAGAGUAGACACCAUGCUUUGAUUUUAAUUGAACUAUGAAUAAGAAAAGUAUGUAUGGACAUUCGACAACAGGGAUUAGAUACAUGCUUGGUUGUUUAACUUGUUCUUCUAUGCUUAAUGGGUUCCUAAUGCUUAAUUUAGAUUAGACAACAAAUAAUCAAGUUAGGGAAUUAGGAGCACAAGGUUAGGACCAGACACCAUGGCCUAAUCAUACUUUAGCUAGAAUCAACCUUUGAAUCCGAAUGAGACUUGUCACUUGACUCCUUAUAACCCAGAAUUGAAUUGUUAUGGUGAAUCGAAUGCCCUAGUCUCCCAAUCUGUUUUCCAGCCUACAAAAGUACUCUUUGUUACAUUUGUUCACCUUGCUUUUGUUUGAAAUUUCGCUUUGCCUCAUUUGUUCAACAAUUACAACCACUCUUGCUUUAAAUUCUGUUUUAGACUUAACCUCCUACUUCCUUGAAUUUGGUAAUCUAAGUACAUAACUAGUUUUAACUUCUCAGUCCUUGUGGGUACGACCUCGUACUUGUCUUGCUAUACUACUAAUUGGCCCGUACAAUUGCGAGUUAACAUUUUAACAACAUAUGCUGCAGUCUUUCAUUUUCCCUUGUGUUAAAUAUUAGAAACUAAUGGCUUGAUUUUACACUGCAUUGGCUGAUAAGUUUCUGAAUUGGUUUUAGGUCCCAUUUGAAUUUUUAGUUAGGAGACAAAUUGCUCGUCUGUUAGACCCAAGCCUUUAGUGUCUUCGAUUUGUUUAUGAUGAACUAAUGAAGGUGAGUAAUAAGGCAUAUGCUACGGAGUUUUAAUUGUAUGUUUCCAUGAAUCAUGAGAUGUAGAUGUAAUCAGGAAGAUAAAAUUUUGCCUGCAGAUAAGCCACGCUUGUGAGGUAAUUGAGUUGCAAAGAUUUCCAGUAUUGAGAAAGCAUCUGGAUGAAGUCAUGGUAAAAUUUUUGCACGAUGGUGUAGAACCUGCUGAGAGAAUGAUAGGAAAUCUUAUUGAGAUGGAGGUAUCUCUUUGUUAACCUCAUUACCACUAUAGUUUAUUCACUCAGAAUUAAGAUUUAGGACAUUGUUGCGUUUAUGCUUUUUUUUGUUAAAUUUGUUUCAAAGAGUCUCAAAAUUCUGUUUAAAUACUGGAAUAUACUAAAAUCUAAUCAAAAUGAGUCGGCAGUUGUAACUGGUAAAAUAGAAAGAGUCAACCUUCCUCAACACUUUGAUAUGGCAUUUGCAACAAGCCAAUUUUGGCUUUUUGGGUGGUUGUAGGUCUAAUAUAUGACUUCUGUAAAUUUCAACAAGUUAGUAAGUUGAUUUGUAGUAUACAAUUUGUUAUCUGUAAGUCGUAUGAGCAGUUGUUAACUUCCAGUAAGUGGUAUGAACAGCUGUUAUACUGUUCAUACCCUGCAACUGAGUUGAUUUAUAUAACAUAGUAUUAACAGUGUACUUCUAUGACAUAGUAUUAACAGAUUUUCAGUAACAAAGCACGCUCUAUAUUUUGCUCUAUAUAUGGCUGUGCACUUGAAGUUUAUGAUAUGCAAAAUGUGAUUUUUACUAGGACAAUAGUUCUAUGACAUAGUAUUAACAAUGUACUUUUGUGACAUAGUAUUAACAGUGUACUUGUUUUUUCCUUGUAAAGGUAUUUCCUUUUGCCUUUGCGAUUGUAUCUGGUGAAACUAUGGACAAUUGGAGGUGGCAGCAAAGGAUAUCGAAUCUCUUGUUAGGGUUUUUUGGAUUAUUUGUAUGAAAUGGUAUUUACAAUGUUUUUGUAUGAAAUUGUAUUAAGAAUGUUUUUCUAUGAAAUUGUAUUAACAAUAUACUUUUAUAGCAUGAUAUUAACAGUGCAUUUUUAUGACAU
RNAcentral lists this long non-coding RNA (3902 nucleotides) under Prunus dulcis (almond). Its description in RNAcentral is "sRNA ncRNA". Lineage: Eukaryota; Viridiplantae; Streptophyta; Magnoliopsida; Rosales; Rosaceae. The record is from RNAcentral.